RNAcentral lists this non-coding RNA (28 nucleotides) under Rattus norvegicus (Norway rat). The record is from RNAcentral. Lineage: Eukaryota; Metazoa; Chordata; Mammalia; Rodentia; Muridae.
UGGCACUGGUGGACCUCAGAAUGCAGAU